CCUACGGGUGGCUGCAGUCGAGAAUCAUUCACAAUGGGGGAAACCCUGAUGGUGCGACGCCGCGUGGGGGAAUGAAGGUCUUCGGAUUGUAAACCCCUGUCAUGUGGGAGCAAAUUAAAAAGAUAGUACCACAAGAGGAAGAGACGGCUAACUCUGUGCCAGCAGCUGCGGUAAUACAGAGGUCUCAAGCGUUGUUCGGCAUCACUGGGCGUAACGCGUGCGGAGGCUGUUUCGUAAGUCGUGUGUGAAAGGUGCGGGCUCAACCCGCGGACGGCACAUGAUACUGCGAGACUAGAGUAAUGGAGGGGGAAGCGGAAUUCUCGGUGUAGCAGUGAAAUGCGUAGAUAUCGAGAGGAACACUCGUGGCGAAGGCGGGUUCCUGGACAUUAACUGACGCUGAGGCACGAAGGCCAGGGGAGCGAAAGGGAUUAGAUACCCUUGUAGUC
RNAcentral lists this ribosomal RNA (446 nucleotides) under uncultured bacterium. RNAcentral describes it as "partial 16S ribosomal RNA". It matches the Rfam family "Bacterial small subunit ribosomal RNA", at positions 338 to 795 of the family's 1533-position model. The record is from RNAcentral.